GUCAAUCAGUCUACGCGUAAAGUCAGCAGGUGUAUAGUAUGAUUACAACUGAACGAAACUUUCAAUUACAUAAAUAAUAAAUUAUACGUGGAUAUUUAAAUACUACAUAUUAUUAACGACAAUAAUUAAGUGAUUAAUUGUUGCAUGCACAUUCACAGACAACUUGGACACAAAUUUUUCGAAUGAAAACAAUAAAAAUAAAAGUGUAAACAAUAACAAUACCUGAAACAUCAAUUAGCAGGAAUAAUGUAUCGACCACAGGUAAAUAAAAAAAUUGCCCUGUUAAUGCACCUCAACAAUUCAGCACGUUGUCUCACACCUGGCACUUUUGUGGCAUUCCCACCUGAUUUAUUUCACCAGCAGUUCACCCCUUCGUACAAUAAAUAUUCUGUCUGCCCAAGAAGAUGAGCAAUGUCAUAGUCAUCAAGUACUCGAGAAAUUGGUGAAGACUGUUGCUUUGAUUUUAAAUCAUAAUAACAAAAUUUAUGUCUUGAGUUGUCAAGUGAAUUAUCAGAUUUAAAUUUGUCAUUUAAAUUACAUCUAGUUGUUUCAAAUUGUCUUUCUAUUGGCAAUUUUUGAGGUAGAUUAUCUUGAGAAUCAAACGAGCCUGAUGAUGAUGGUGGUGAAGAUAACACUGAACUGUAACUUGUUGAAUCUAUAAGCAGAAAAAAAAAUAAUAAAUAAAUAUAGAAACAUAAAUAGUGCUUAAAGAAAUUUAUAAAUUUUAAAGGAAAUAUUUUUACC
Long non-coding RNA from Aphidius gifuensis, 744 nucleotides. RefSeq lists it as uncharacterized. The record is from RefSeq and is a predicted model, not a curated record. Lineage: Eukaryota; Metazoa; Arthropoda; Insecta; Hymenoptera; Braconidae. The transcript has 4 exons.